AGCAGCGUGGCUCAGUGGAAAGAGCCCCAGGCUUUGGAGUCUGAGGUCAUGGGUUCAAACCCCGGCUCUGCCA
Molecule: transfer RNA, 73 nt
Filed under: Ornithorhynchus anatinus (platypus)
Lineage: Eukaryota; Metazoa; Chordata; Mammalia; Monotremata; Ornithorhynchidae
Rfam family: tRNA
About the family: Transfer RNA (tRNA) molecules are approximately 80 nucleotides in length. Their secondary structure includes four short double-helical elements and three loops (D, anti-codon, and T loops).
Source: Rfam by way of RNAcentral